Molecule: ribosomal RNA, 1199 nt
Filed under: Escherichia coli
Lineage: Bacteria; Pseudomonadati; Pseudomonadota; Gammaproteobacteria; Enterobacterales; Enterobacteriaceae
Description: bacterial SSU rRNA
Rfam family: Bacterial small subunit ribosomal RNA
Source: RNAcentral
AAAUUGAAGAGUUUGAUCAUGGCUCAGAUUGAACGCUGGCGGCAGGCCUAACACAUGCAAGUCGAACGGUAACAGGAAGAAGCUUGCUUCUUUGCUGACGAGUGGCGGACGGGUGAGUAAUGUCUGGGAAACUGCCUGAUGGAGGGGGAUAACUACUGGAAACGGUAGCUAAUACCGCAUAACGUCGCAAGACCAAAGAGGGGGACCUUCGGGCCUCUUGCCAUCGGAUGUGCCCAGAUGGGAUUAGCUAGUAGGUGGGGUAACGGCUCACCUAGGCGACGAUCCCUAGCUGGUCUGAGAGGAUGACCAGCCACACUGGAACUGAGACACGGUCCAGACUCCUACGGGAGGCAGCAGUGGGGAAUAUUGCACAAUGGGCGCAAGCCUGAUGCAGCCAUGCCGCGUGUAUGAAGAAGGCCUUCGGGUUGUAAAGUACUUUCAGCGGGGAGGAAGGGAGUAAAGUUAAUACCUUUGCUCAUUGACGUUACCCGCAGAAGAAGCACCGGCUAACUCCGUGCCAGCAGCCGCGGUAAUACGGAGGGUGCAAGCGUUAAUCGGAAUUACUGGGCGUAAAGCGCACGCAGGCGGUUUGUUAAGUCAGAUGUGAAAUCCCCGGGCUCAACCUGGGAACUGCAUCUGAUACUGGCAAGCUUGAGUCUCGUAGAGGGGGGUAGAAUUCCAGGUGUAGCGGUGAAAUGCGUAGAGAUCUGGAGGAAUACCGGUGGCGAAGGCGGCCCCCUGGACGAAGACUGACGCUCAGGUGCGAAAGCGUGGGGAGCAAACAGGAUUAGAUACCCUGGUAGUCCACGCCGUAAACGAUGUCGACUUGGAGGUUGUGCCCUUGAGGCGUGGCUUCCGGAGCUAACGCGUUAAGUCGACCGCCUGGGGAGUACGGCCGCAAGGUUAAAACUCAAAUGAAUUGACGGGGGCCCGCACAAGCGGUGGAGCAUGUGGUUUAAUUCGAUGCAACGCGAAGAACCUUACCUGGUCUUGACAUCCACAGAACUUUCCAGAGAUGGAUUGGUGCCUUCGGGAACUGUGAGACAGGUGCUGCAUGGCUGUCGUCAGCUCGUGUUGUGAAAUGUUGGGUUAAGUCCCGCAACGAGCGCAACCCUUAUCCUUUGUUGCCAGCGGUCCGGCCGGGAACUCAAAGGAGACUGCCAGUGAUAAACUGGAGGAAGGUGGGGAUGACGUCAAGU